RNAcentral lists this ribosomal RNA (704 nucleotides) under Apiospora guizhouensis. RNAcentral describes it as "partial large subunit ribosomal RNA". It matches the Rfam family "Eukaryotic large subunit ribosomal RNA", at positions 134 to 861 of the family's 3401-position model. The record is from RNAcentral. Lineage: Eukaryota; Fungi; Ascomycota; Sordariomycetes; Amphisphaeriales; Apiosporaceae.
GGGUCCGAGUUGUAAUUUGCAGAGGAUGCUUUUGGUGCGGUGCCUUCCGAGUUCCCUGGAACGGGACGCCUUAGAGGGUGAGAGCCCCGUACGGUUGGACACCAAGCCUAUGUAAAGCUCCUUCGACGAGUCGAGUAGUUUGGGAAUGCUGCUCAAAAUGGGAGGUAUAUUUCUUCUAAAGCUAAAUAUUGGCCAGAGACCGAUAGCGCACAAGUAGAGUGAUCGAAAGAUGAAAAGCACUUUGAAAAGAGGGUUAAAUAGCACGUGAAAUUGUUGAAAGGGAAGGAUUUAUGACCAGACUUUUUCUAGGGGGAUCAUCCGGUGUUCUCACCGGUGCACUUCCCCUAGUUGAGGCCAGCAUCGGUUUCUGUCGGGGGAUAAAAGCUUUAGGAAUGUGGCUCCCUCCGGGGAGUGUUAUAGCCUGUUGCAUAAUACCCUGACGGGGACCGAGGUUCGCGCAUUGCAAGGAUGCUGGCGUAAUGGUUAUUAAUCACCCGUCUUGAAACACGGACCAAGGAGUCGAACAUUUGUGCGAGUGUUUGGGUGUUAAACCCUCACGCGUAAUGAAAGUGAACGGAGGUGAGAGCCUUUCGGGGUGCAUCAUCGACCGAUCCUGAUGUCUUCGGAUGGAUUUGAGUAAGAGCAUUAAUGUUCGGACCCGAAAGAUGGUGAACUAUGCGUGGAUAGGGUGAAGCCAGAGGAAA